GUAAUCACCAUCGCAGCCAUUCUUCAUCGUUAUCUUCUUCUUCAUAUUAACCAUCUCACGUCAUGUUCACGUUCUUCUCUCAUCAUGUUGACCCAAGGCAGAGCCGGAGAUUCCUUACCGCGCCGGAGCCGUCACGUUCAUCACAACUAGCCACAGAUUUGCACCGCCAUGAUCCGCUUGCUGCCGUAGUUGUCAUAAACCACCGUCAGGAUCCAAGCUAGAGAGAUCGUGAUCUCACACCUGCUUGCUCCACUGUCGCUACUCACCCCCGAUCACCAACCGUUACCAUCAGAUACAUGGCUAAGGAGUGGUUUUGCGAGAGGUUUCUAGUACGGUGCAGGGGAUUCUAGGGUGUGCGCCAUGGCUCUUGGGAUAGAUCUCGUUUCCAGGAAUCUGUAGAAGCAAACAGAAUCUAGAUCAGAGUUGUGAAGCAAAAGUUAUUGCUGUUGCUUCUUGGGCAAGAAUAAGCUUAAGCUGUUGCGCUGCAGAGACAGUUCCGACCAGUCUCAGCGUAAAGGUGAAAUGGUCAGCCUAAUCAAAAUAUUUCAGUCUGGAAUUUUGUCAGUAAGUAUUUAACUCUUUUAUCUAUCAUCUCCAAGAAGCGGAUUGUCAUUCCAAGUUAUUUUCUGAGAGUUAAGCUUGUUUUCGUGAGAGGUGUUGGUGCAGUCUACGUUUGCGACCAG
RNAcentral lists this long non-coding RNA (683 nucleotides) under Brassica rapa (field mustard). RNAcentral describes it as "long non-coding RNA (BRAP_LNC005706)". Lineage: Eukaryota; Viridiplantae; Streptophyta; Magnoliopsida; Brassicales; Brassicaceae. The record is from RNAcentral.